This is a non-coding RNA of Pelobates cultripes (western spadefoot toad), 1079 nucleotides long. Lineage: Eukaryota; Metazoa; Chordata; Amphibia; Anura; Pelobatidae. The record is from the annotation of a GenBank genome assembly.
ACUGGCCUUAGCAACGGCAGAUUGACAUUGCAUUUUGCUGCCUAAUUUGUUGUCUAUAACAAUUCUCAAAUCCUUCUCGUGUGUGGUUAUCCCUAAUUCACUACCAUUUAGGGUGUAGGUUGCUUGUGCAUUCUUGACCCCGAAGUACAUAAUUUUGCAUUUCUCUACAUUAAAUUUUAUCUGCCAUUUUAGUGCCCAGUCCCCCAAUCUAUCUAAAUCCCUCUGUUGCAAAGCAAUAUCCUGCUCACAGUUUAUUAACACAAACUUAUGAUUUAUUCCAUUCACGACAUUGGGACAUUCUAUGCAGUCCUAAAAUUGAUGGGCUUUAAUGCUGAUCCGAUCGUACAUGCUUGCAUUUUAUGGUGAGCAGGGAUAAAUCUCACACCAGGGUCUCUAAUAACUCUGUGCAAACAUUUUCUAAUGUGGUUAAAAUCCUAAUUGAACAAUUACCACAGCAUAAUCAAUUGAUUAAACACAGCAUUUGUUUUCAAGAAAAAUUAGCCUUAAAGGAAUAGUCACAAAAUUGAUAGUUUUUCUUGCCCUGGAUCAUGCUUAAGUCAUGAGACAAUUGUUAGAUAGAUCUAACUGUAGACCCUACUGCCCACAUUGCCAAAAUCUAUUUUAGACAAGGCUAAGGUAUGUCUUUUUGCUGAUGAUACUAAAAUUUGAAACAGGGUUAAUGCUCCAGGAGGGACAAGCCAAAUGGCAAAUGAUUUAGGUAAAUUAGAAAAAUGGUCAGAGCUGUGGCAGCUGACAUUUAAUGUGGAUAAGUGCAAGAUCAUGCAUCUUGGGUGUAAAAACCCAACGGCAGAGUAUAGGAUAUUUGAUACCCUACUAACCUUAACAUCUGAGGAAAGGGAUAUAUGAGUAAUUAUUUCAGAUGACUUAAAGGUAGGCAGACAAUGUAAUAGAGCAGCAGGAAAUGCUAGCAGAAUGCUUGGUUGUAUAGGGAGAGGUAUUAGCAGUAGAAAGAGGGAAGCGCUCAUGCCAUUGUACAGAACACUGGUGAGACCUUACUUGGAGUAUUGUACGCAGUACUGGAGACCGUAUCUUCAGAAGGAUAUUGAUACUUUAGAGAG